AUAAGCUCGCCUCCUGCUCUCUUCUUCUCAUCUUCAUCAUUUACCUUUAAUUACUUUGCCUUUUUAUUUUCCUUUCUUCGUCUCUUUAUUUCUUUUCUCCUAAUCUUUGAUCAGCACAUACUCAAAGUCCAACUUUUUAACAAUUUCUCGCUUAUUCCCACUUCCACUCGUGCCUUACAGCUUCAAGCUAUAAUAGAGACCAGACGCUGAGGCGACGAGGAGAAGGAGAAGGAGAAUAAGACGUCACAACUCGCUGGAGAAGGAGGCCCCAACACGCGACUCAAUUUCGGUUCCUACUGUUGCAGUGUUGCUGAUGAACUGAUAACACGAGGAUGACGAUGUUGUUGUUUUUGUUGUUUCAAUGACGACAGGCACUCAGCAACGAUGAGCCAAUUAAAUUGAUUUGAUUUUUUUAUAUAAAUGUUAGUGAGAGAGAUAUUUUUGUAUUGUUCAUAAGAGCUGUAAUGAAAGCUUAGACUAUACGAUAAUAGGUGAUUUGUGCCAACUUUAAAAGUUGAAGUUCCAAUUGGAAAUAAAUAAAAGAAAACAUCAAGUGCCAAUGUGCUAUUCGAGGCACACUUAAGGGUCCAA
This is a long non-coding RNA of Ricinus communis (castor bean), 591 nucleotides long. RefSeq lists it as uncharacterized. The record is from RefSeq and is a predicted model, not a curated record. The transcript is spliced from 2 exons. NCBI's taxonomy places the organism in Eukaryota, Viridiplantae, Streptophyta, Magnoliopsida, Malpighiales, Euphorbiaceae.